RNAcentral lists this ribosomal RNA (462 nucleotides) under uncultured bacterium. Its description in RNAcentral is "bacterial SSU rRNA". It matches the Rfam family "Bacterial small subunit ribosomal RNA", at positions 355 to 825 of the family's 1533-position model. The record is from RNAcentral.
UAAGGAAUAUUGCGCAAUGGACGAAAGUCUGACGCAGCGACGCCGCGUGGGGGAUGAAGGUCUUCGGAUUGUAAACCCCUUUCGGGAGGGAAGAUGGAGUGGGUAACCACUUGGACGGUACCUCCAGAAGCAGCCACGGCUAACUUCGUGCCAGCAGCCGCGGUAAUACGAAGGUGGCAAGCGUUGUUCGGAUUCACUGGGCGUACAGGGAGCGUAGGCGGUUGGGUAAGCCCUCCGUGAAAUCUCCGGGCCUAACCCGGAAAGUGCAGAGGGGACUGCUCAGCUAGAGGAUGGGAGAGGAGCGCGGAAUUCCCGGUGUAGCGGUGAAAUGCGUAGAGAUCGGGAGGAAGGCCGGUGGCGAAGGCGGCGCUCUGGAACAUUUCUGACGCUGAGGCUCGAAAGCGUGGGGAGCAAACAGGAUUAGAUACCCAAGUAGUCCCUGAGCGGGCUGGCAAGGCGCAU